GCAGUCGAACGGCAGCGCGGGGAGCUUGCUCCCUGGCGGCGAGUGGCGGACGGGUGAGUAACGCGUGGGAAUCUGCCCAGUAGUGGGGGACAACCCGGGGAAACUCGGGCUAAUACCGCAUACGCUCUACGGAGGAAAGCGGGGGAUCUUCGGACCUCGCGCUAUUGGAUGAGCCCGCGUCGGAUUAGCUAGUUGGUGAGGUAAUAGCUCACCAAGGCGACGAUCCGUAACUGGUCUGAGAGGACGAUCAGUCACACCGGAACUGAGACACGGUCCGGACUCCUACGGGAGGCAGCAGUGGGGAAUAUUGGACAAUGGGCGAAAGCCUGAUCCAGCAAUGCCGCGUGUGUGAAGAAGGCCUGCGGGUUGUAAAGCACUUUCAGCAGGGAAGAAAAGCGCGGGGAUAAUACCCCCGUGUCUUGACGUUACCUGCAGAAGAAGCACCGGCUAACUCCGUGCCAGCAGCCGCGGUAAUACGGAGGGUGCGAGCGUUAAUCGGAAUUACUGGGCGUAAAGCGCGCGUAGGCGGCUUGGUCAGUCGGAUGUGAAAGCCCCGGGCUCAACCUGGGAAUUGCAUUCGAUACUGCCGAGCUCGAGUAUGGGAGAGGGAAGUGGAAUUUCCGGUGUAGCGGUGAAAUGCGUAGAUAUCGGAAGGAACACCAGUGGCGAAGGCGACUUCCUGGCCCAAUACUGACGCUGAGGUGCGAAAGCGUGGGGAGCAAACAGGAUUAGAUACCCUG
RNAcentral lists this ribosomal RNA (740 nucleotides) under uncultured Gammaproteobacteria bacterium. RNAcentral's name for it is "bacterial SSU rRNA". It matches the Rfam family "Bacterial small subunit ribosomal RNA", at positions 57 to 789 of the family's 1533-position model. Lineage: Bacteria; Pseudomonadati; Pseudomonadota; Gammaproteobacteria. The record is from RNAcentral.